RNAcentral lists this ribosomal RNA (371 nucleotides) under Thraustochytriidae sp. RNAcentral's name for it is "Thraustochytriaceae sp. partial small subunit ribosomal RNA". It matches the Rfam family "Eukaryotic small subunit ribosomal RNA", at positions 582 to 975 of the family's 1831-position model. Lineage: Eukaryota; Bigyra; Thraustochytrida; Thraustochytriidae. The record is from RNAcentral.
AUUCCAGCUCCAAUAGUGUAUACUAAAGUUGUUGCAGUUAAAAAGCUCGUAGUUGGAUUUCUGGUAGGACAGAUCCGGCCUUUGGAUGAAUGUCCAUUGUAUGCUGUGUGUCUUGUCUGGCCAUCCUUUAUGUCUUUUAGGCGUAAUCUUUCACUGUAAAAAAAUUAGGGUGUUUCAAGCAAAAGUUAUUUGGAAUAUAUUAGUAUGGGAUGAUAAGAUAGGCUCUUGAGUGCUACUUUGUUGGUUUAUACACUUAGAGAAUGAUUAACAGGGACAGUUGGGGGUAUUCAUAUUUACAUGUCAGAGGUGAAAUUCUUGGAUUUUGGAAAGAUGAACUACUGCGAAGGCAUUUACCAAGGAUGUUUUCAUUA